Long non-coding RNA from Capsicum annuum, 942 nucleotides. RefSeq lists it as uncharacterized. Lineage: Eukaryota; Viridiplantae; Streptophyta; Magnoliopsida; Solanales; Solanaceae. The record is from RefSeq and is a predicted model, not a curated record. The transcript has 2 exons.
AGGAUAAAUCAUUACUUCUUUGAUUUGCUUGUUUUAUUUCCAUCUUUUUGAUUGAUCAUACACAAAGCUUUAAAGGAGUUCUCCAUUGCCUCUUCCAUUCUCAUAACCAUGAUCUCGUUUUUAUCUAACCUAGGGAGAGGUCUCUGGAAUUAUCCUUUUACUUAAAUCACACAAAUUUGUACUAUCUUAUACUGGCAGCAUAUGAGAAAACAAAUUUAAGGUCACAAGGCUAAAUGACAUAGUGGCCUUCAUGAUCAAGGGAUUCCAUAAUUCGGGUCAGGCCACUUAGUAAGUAAAUUCAUCAGCUAUAGCUGAUUUGAUUAUCAUUUACACGGGUUACACCUCUAUGGACUUGCACGUGUGUAAUUAUACAAUGUUGCUUUGGUCUCGUUUGAGUAUCUUGCUCUUAUUUGUUCUCUCAAUUUUCAAGUACUAAGUUACGAAGACCGUAGGAAACUUCUCCUAAGCAAAACCAUUUUUUGACAGGCAACACCUAAACCAGUGGCAGUCGGAUUUGGCAUUUCAAAACCUGAACAUGUUAAGCAGGUGGCAGAAUGGGGAGCUGAUGGUGUUAUUGUUGGUAGUGCAAUGGUAAGAAUUUUAGGUGAAGCAAAAUCACCUGAAGAAGGCUUGAAGGAAUUAGAGGUCUUCGCCACAUCUUUAAAGUCUGCACACCCUUGAUCAGUUGUAGAAUUGAUGAUUUUGUUGUCUCAAAGCUUUUUGGCCACCUCAAUUUUCAAACCUCAGUUCUUAGAAGCAAAUUGGAUCUUGAAAUAGAUCGUCUGAUUUAAGCUGUAGAGUUUGACAUUCGUACUCUAGCUUGUGUUAGAUGCAAAUUUGUUUGCUAUGGUAAUUCACCUUAUUGAGCAAAGGCAUAUGGGAGACUUUCAAAAUAACCUAAUUGAAGCAUAAAUAAGGCAACACUAGCCACAUUUUACAAAA